AUUGAACGCUGGCGGCAGGCCUAACACAUGCAAGUCGAGCGAGCGGCGGACGGGUGAGUAAUGUAUGGGGACUGCCUGAUAGAGGGGGAUAACUACUGGAAACGGUGGCUAAUACCGCAUACUAUCGGAUAACCCAUAUGGGAUUAGCUAGUCGGUGGGGUAAAGGCUCACCUAGGCGACGAUCCCUAGCUGGUCUGAGAGGAUGAUCAGUCACACUGGUAAUGAGACACGGCCCAGACUCCUACGGAGGCAGCAGUGGGGAAUAUUGCACAAGUGGCGAGAGCCUGAUGCAGCCAUGCCGCGUGUAUGAAGAAGGCCUUAGGGUUGUAAAGUACUUUCAGCCGGUAGGCGUUACCCGCAGAAGAAGCACCGGCUAACUCCGUGCCAGCAGCCGCGGUAAUAC
This 403-nucleotide ribosomal RNA is filed under the name uncultured bacterium. RNAcentral describes it as "partial 16S ribosomal RNA". It matches the Rfam family "Bacterial small subunit ribosomal RNA", at positions 30 to 526 of the family's 1533-position model. The record is from RNAcentral.